UCUCUCUCAUUCGAUUAGAGAUAGAUCAUGGCUCAGAUUGAUCUCUCGCGGCGUGCUUUACACAUGCAAGUCGAGCGGCAGCAUGACCUUCGGGUUGAUGGCGAGCGGCGAACGGGUGAGUAAUACAUCGGAACGUACCUUUUAGUGGGGGAUAACGCAUCGAAAGAUGUGCUAAUACCGCAUAAUCUCUGAGGAGGAAAGGCGGGGAUCACGUAAGUGACCUGUCGCUGAAAGAGCGGCCGAUGGUCGAUUAGCUAGUUGGCGGGGUAAAAGCCCACCAAGGCGAUGAUCGAUAGCGGGUCUGAGAGGACGAUCCGUCACACUGGGACUGAGACACGGCCCAGACUCCUACGGGAGGCAGCAGUGGGGAAUUUUGGACAAUGGGGGCAACCCUGAUCCAGCAACGCCGCGUGAAUGAAGAAGGCCUUAGGGUUGUAAAGUUCUUUUGUCAGGGGAAGAAAGUUUCUGUGCUAAUACCAUAGAACGAUGACUGGUACCUGAAGAAUAAGCACCGGGCUAACUACGUGCCAGCAGCCCGCGGUAAUACGUAGGGUGCAAGCGUUAAUCGGAAAUUACUGGGGCGUAAAGCCGUGCGGCAGGCGGAUAUGUAAGUUUAGAAGUGAAAAUCCCCCGGGGCUUCAACCUUG
Molecule: ribosomal RNA, 647 nt
Filed under: uncultured beta proteobacterium
Lineage: Bacteria; Pseudomonadati; Pseudomonadota; Betaproteobacteria
Description: bacterial SSU rRNA
Rfam family: Bacterial small subunit ribosomal RNA
Source: RNAcentral